This is a long non-coding RNA of Liolophura sinensis, 478 nucleotides long. RefSeq lists it as uncharacterized. NCBI's taxonomy places the organism in Eukaryota, Metazoa, Mollusca, Polyplacophora, Chitonida, Chitonidae. The transcript has 3 exons. The record is from RefSeq and is a predicted model, not a curated record.
CAUAGAAUCUGACAAGAAUUGAGUUAGAGGCUGAUCCUUCUUCGCUCUCUCAUCUCCUAGUUCAGCUGAUUGAUUUGUUCUUGACUAUCGUGCUGCAAAUUUGGUAAUUGUAUGCCAUUACACGUAAGCCUAACUGAGGUAAAUUGACUCGAGGCCAUAUUUCACCGGUUUCGUCUCUACAUUUGCCAGGCAGCACAUUUACGUGCAAUGAAGGUGGCGCUGUAACUCACGGCUUCCCCAGGGAAACGAAGCAAAAAUUGUCACAUCUGGGAGGAUUUAUGCUGGAAGCUGGAGAAGAAGACAAGGCAGAUCCAACCAACCGAACUUAUACAAGCGACAUGAACGUUCUUAUAUUUCACACCCACAACAAUUCUCACGUGCUAAUCUGACUUGCGACUUCUCGCCCCAAGCGCUGCACUACUAAGCAUGAGAGACACUCUAGUCCCCGGGGUGGAAUGUACAGAAACUGGCCGUUAAA